This 1657-nucleotide long non-coding RNA is filed under the name Nicotiana tabacum (common tobacco). RNAcentral's name for it is "long non-coding RNA (NTAB_LNC012235)". Lineage: Eukaryota; Viridiplantae; Streptophyta; Magnoliopsida; Solanales; Solanaceae. The record is from RNAcentral.
GUUCAUUUAACUCUGGGAGAAGGUGUUAGGUAUUCCCGAGUCCCGUGAAAGUUACGGUUGCGUACUUGAUCCGGUUGGCUUUAAAGAAUACUCAAAUUGAGGCAAAACAAACGAAAGAAAAAUAAACACAUAAGUGGCUCGAGGUCGUCCCCACCUAAAUAAAAGAAAAUAAAAUAUGAGAAAAAUACCAAAAGUUUAUACUAUGCUCAUUCCACGAUAUCUGUCACAUCCUCCAAUUACAUUCACCGCAGGGGAUAUACAAAAUUCAAAGGGCAUUUUGCCAAGUAUAAAUUAAAGGGGACGACCUCUCACCUCAAAUAAAAAAUGAAAUAAAAGACCUAAUAUUUGCCUAGCCAAGUGUGGUCGGCCUAAAUAUGCUACUAGCGAAUAAUAUAAUAAAAUAAAAAAAUAAAAAAAUAAAUAAAAGGAAAUUUCUAAAUCAUGCUCAAAUUCUCUUGACCUUUUAUUUUUAUGUAUUUGGCCAAGCUCAAUUCCUAAGGCAUGUAAACAAUUUAAUCACUAAUGAGCUCGGCCUUUCCCUAAUACCCGCAAAUCAAGAAUAUUAUACUUCUAAAAGAUCAUCACUCAAUGUUCCUAACAAACAAGGACUUCCAAAAAUAUGAACCAAAAGAAAAGACGAGAAAGAGAGGUAAAAGAAUGAUAGAAAAGUUUUGCACUUAUACUAUGAAUAUUAGCUUAAUACUAGCAAACCUACUGAAGUCAAAAUGACGUAACUAGUCCACACAGCCAGCAAAACCUCAAGAAAUUGACCAAACAAUUUAAUAAAGUUUUGAAAAAUUAGGAAAAAAAAAGAUUUUAAACAACAUGUUAUACGAACUUCCUAAUCACUCAGGCACAAAUAUGUAAGCACCAUAUUUCUCUAAUAUAAAGCACACACUAAAUCUAUGAGAAUACCAAAAUUUAGACGGUUUUACAUGAUUUAAGAACUUUCAAUUGUUACGUCAUAGAAUAAAACUUACACUCAAUUUCUAUUUUAAUUUAUUAAGCAGAUUUUAAGAUCCUAAACCCAUUUCACUCGGCCAUUAUCAUAAAUUAAUUUCAAGCAUUAAACGAACACAUGAGAAAUGAUGAAGAUAUGGAACUUAAAUAGAAGAUUCCUUUAAAAUAACUCUGUUUGGGCGAAAUGUUUUGGAUGACAGAAAUCAACAACCAAACAGAGCACUCACAAAAUUAAUUAACAAAGCAGUAUCAACAAGAAAUCGCACACAUAAAAUUAAAAAGGGUAAACAAAUAGAGAAGAGAUAAAAAUGGACCUCAAGUGAGCAAACUUCUUUUAAUAUAUGAAUUUGAUAACAUCUAACUUCGGCAACCCAAAUCUGAACCGUAAAGAUGAAAAUGGCAAUGGAUUGACGGGAACUCGAACGAAUCAAACUCGAACAGCACCUCAACUCAUUCGACUUCCAUAUUUGAAAUCCAUGAUCAAAGGAAGGGACUGGAAUUUUGUUAUCUUAUUUUUUUUUGAAAAUUGGAAUCAAAACAGAAACAUUUCAUAUGCAAUUUUUCUAGAUUCAAGAGGAAAAUUAAGAAAACUAAACUGAAUUUUUUUUUGUUUUUCUGGAAUUCAAGAGGAAAAUCGACAAGUAAACUGAAUUUUGUUUUUGUUUUGAAACUCCAAGAAGAGAAACCCUAAAACUUU